This 492-nucleotide ribosomal RNA is filed under the name uncultured bacterium. RNAcentral's name for it is "partial 16S ribosomal RNA". It matches the Rfam family "Bacterial small subunit ribosomal RNA", at positions 29 to 507 of the family's 1533-position model. The record is from RNAcentral.
AGUGAACGCUGGCGGUAGGCCUAACACAUGCAAGUCGAACGGCAGCACAGUAAGAGCUUGCUCUUACGGGUGGCGAGUGGCGGACGGGUGAGGAAUACAUCGGAAUCUACUUUUUCGUGGGGGAUAACGUAGGGAAACUUACGCUAAUACAGCAUACGACCUACGGGUGAAAGCAGGGGAUCUUCGGACCUUGCGCGAUUGAAUGAGCCGAUGUCGGAUUAGCUAGUUGGCGGGGUAAAGGCCCACCAAGGCGACGAUCCGUAGCUGGUCUGAGAGGAUGAUCAGUCACACUGGACCUGAGACACGGUCCAGACUCCUACGGGAGGCAGCAGUGGGGAAUAUUGGACAAUGGGCGCAAGCCUGAUCCAGCCAUACCGCGUGGGUGAAGAAGGCCUUCGGGUUGUAAAGCCCUUUUGUUGGGAAAGAAAAGCAGCAGGUUAAUACCCCGCUGUUCUGACGGUACCCAAAGAAUAAGCACCGGCUAACUUCGUG